RNAcentral lists this long non-coding RNA (464 nucleotides) under Carica papaya (papaya). RNAcentral describes it as "long non-coding RNA (CPAP_LNC005486)". The record is from RNAcentral. Lineage: Eukaryota; Viridiplantae; Streptophyta; Magnoliopsida; Brassicales; Caricaceae.
CAGGUUCUGGAGAAAAUUUCAGGGAAUCCAGGGACUGCCCGUAGGCGCAGUGAGAACCCAAUUUUAGACUCCGAAACAAGUAAGGAUCUCUCAUCCUAUUUUCUAUCACGACAUUAAAGCCUAAUAAAUGAUAAAACGGUAUUUUAUGAAUUAAUAGAUAUGUGUAAUUGAUUAAGGUUGCUAAUGGAGCCCGAAUCUGAUAUAUUUUCGGUCAGGUGUUGUUUGAUUUAUUUUGCAGUUUUGAAUGCAGUAUGGUGCCUGAUGUGUUUAUUCUAUAGUUUCGUAUGCAUAAAUCUCGGUUUCAUUUAUUAUGCUUUGAAUUAUUGUGAACCUGAUAUUGUGUUGCCUUGUUUGAUAUCUAUUACUGGUUUACGUGUUGUAUUUGAUAGGAUAAUUGAGAUUAAGAAAAAUGAAAAAAGGUAUGUGACUUGAUAAUGGAUAAUGUCGACAGCCUGACUAGAUAU